UAUAUAUAUAUAUAUAAAUGUAAUGUUUAUAAAAUUUAAAACUAUUUAUACAAGUUAUAUAUAAGUAGUA
Molecule: transfer RNA, 70 nt
Filed under: Araschnia levana (map butterfly)
Lineage: Eukaryota; Metazoa; Arthropoda; Insecta; Lepidoptera; Nymphalidae
Description: tRNA-Leu
Source: RNAcentral